RNAcentral lists this ribosomal RNA (374 nucleotides) under uncultured organism. Its description in RNAcentral is "partial 16S ribosomal RNA". It matches the Rfam family "Bacterial small subunit ribosomal RNA", at positions 527 to 896 of the family's 1533-position model. The record is from RNAcentral.
GUAGGUGGCAAGCGUUGUCCGGAAUUAUUGGGGCGUAAAGCGCGCGCAGGCGGUUCUUUAAGUCUGAUGUGAAAGCCCACGGGCUCAACCGUGGAGGGUCAUUGGAAACUGGAGAACUUGAGUACAGAAGAGGAAGGCGGAAUUCCACGUGUAGCGGUGAAAUGCGUAGAGAUGUGGAGGAACACCAGUGGCGAAGGCGGCUUUCUGGUCUGUAACUGACGCUGAGGCGCGAAAGCGUGGGGAGCAAACAGGAUUAGAUACCCUGGUAGUCCACGCCGUAAACGAUGAGUGCUAAGUGUUAGGGGGUUUCCGCCCCUUAGUGCUGCAGCUAACGCAUUAAGCACUCCGCCUGGGGAGUACGGCCGCAAAGGCUG